CAACUUGAAGCUUAUAAAGUAAAGUAUUUCAUUUACAUUGAAAUGAUUAUUGUGCAAAUCAAUAUAAGUUGA
This 72-nucleotide transfer RNA is filed under the name Nasimyia megacephala. RNAcentral describes it as "tRNA-Val". It matches the Rfam family "tRNA". From Rfam's summary of the family: Transfer RNA (tRNA) molecules are approximately 80 nucleotides in length. Lineage: Eukaryota; Metazoa; Arthropoda; Insecta; Diptera; Stratiomyidae. The record is from RNAcentral.